AGCGAACGCUGGCGGCAGGCUUAACACAUGCAAGUCGAACGCACCUUCGGGUGAGUGGCAGACGGGUGAGUAACACGUGGGAACGUACCCUUUGGUCUGGAAUAACUCUGGGAAACUAGAGCUAAUACCGGAUACGCCCUUUUGGGGAAAGGUUUACUGCCGAAGGAUCGGCCCGCGUCUGAUUAGCUAGUUGGUGGGGUAACGGCCUACCAAGGCGACGAUCAGUAGCUGGUCUGAGAGGAUGAUCAGCCACACUGGGACUGAGACACGGCCCAGACUCCUACGGGGGGCAACAGUGGGGAAUAUUGGACAAUGGACGCAAGCCUGAUCCAGCCAUGCGGCGUGAGUGAUGAAGGCCUUAGGGUUGUAAAGCUCUUUUGUCCGGGACGAUAAUGACGGUACCGGAAGAAUAAGCCCCGGCUAACUUCGUGCCAGCCGCCGCCGUAA
This 447-nucleotide ribosomal RNA is filed under the name uncultured bacterium. Its description in RNAcentral is "partial 16S ribosomal RNA". It matches the Rfam family "Bacterial small subunit ribosomal RNA", at positions 29 to 523 of the family's 1533-position model. The record is from RNAcentral.